RNAcentral lists this long non-coding RNA (986 nucleotides) under Chrysemys picta bellii (western painted turtle). RNAcentral's name for it is "lncRNA (ENSCPBG00000028194.1)". The record is from RNAcentral. Lineage: Eukaryota; Metazoa; Chordata; Testudines; Emydidae.
UCAAACACAUCUGCCAGCGGCUAGAAUGAUAAGAAAGGAGAAAUCUAACCAGUGGAAAAUACAUCAUGUUUACCACAAGUUUAAAACAAAGAAUCAGCAGCCAUGACAGGAUUAAAUCGAGGACACCAUUAUUCCAUUAAAUGAUCUUUAGAUGAAUGCUGUGUCUCUGAGGAGGGUAUAAGACAAAAUGGAAGGCUUGCUGUGUGGAUGCUUUUCUUCCCGUGCACGUCAAUUUGUUGCCUCUGUUAUUCGAUAGCAGUGUAUAAAUCUUACUCAUUUCAUUCCAGAUAAAGGGAGACAACAUCAUAGGACCUGUGUAUCUUUGCAUGGGAUAUUGAGAACUGGACUCCUCAUUUUCUAUAGCUGGGGAUUAGGAAGUGCUCUCACUCCCACUUCACCCGAGGGUGAACAGGCGCAGCGCCGUCCUACAGCGUUGGAACAGCUGUUUUGAGGUAUUUAUUUGGCCUCCCUCUCCACAAGAGCUGAGCACCUCACAAUCACUAAUGGAUUUUGCUGGGUUUGUCUUGUUUCCUGCACCCCAAAGAAGUUCUGCCCAGAGAUUAAACGUCUCCUUUCUGGGAAGCGGUUUGGUCAGUAUAAAAGCAUUUUAAAACCUGCAUUUUUAUGAAGUUUUUAUUAGUUGCAGAGCCUGAGAGAUGGGCACUAAAUAGAAUAUUGGUCAACAAAGGUAUCUAUUUAAAAAAAACAGGUUGACUCUGAUUAAAUGCAAAUACUGAAUUGAGCUUCAUUUCCUCCUGAAUCCAAGGUGUCCUUCCCCAAGGCAAUACCUUCAGGACUGACCCCUCAGCUUCCCUCCCAUCCUAUUUAACAACAAGACCUGACUAGGAGACAGAAGGGGAAAACUCGCCUUCUAGGGUGAUAAACAAGCCUCUGUGCUCGUAUUCCCUAUAAACACUAUUUCAGCUGAUCUCCCCAAUGCUGUUCAUACACUGAGAGAGAGAAAUAAACAGCCAGGCACAGAAACA